Molecule: long non-coding RNA, 571 nt
Organism: Salvelinus fontinalis (brook trout)
Lineage: Eukaryota; Metazoa; Chordata; Actinopteri; Salmoniformes; Salmonidae
Exons: 6
Source: RefSeq, a predicted model, not a curated record
CUGAGAUGUGGAGGGGUCUAUAAGGACUGGUCUUUCUGCAGGGCUGAGAUGUGGAGGGGUCUAUAAGGUCUUUCUGCAGGGCUGAGAUGUGGAGGGGUCUAUAAGGUCUGGUCUUUCUGCAGGGCUGAGAUGUGGAGGGGUCUAUAAGGUCUGGUCUUUCUGCAGGGCUGAGAUGUGGAGGGUCUAUAAGGUCUUUCUGCAGGGCUGAGAUGUGGAGGGGUCUAUAAGGUCUUUCUGCAGGGCUGAGAUGUGGAGGGGUCUAUAAGGUCUGGUCUUUCUGCAGGGCUGAGAUGUGGAGGGGUCUAUAAGGUCUUUCUGCAGGGCUGAGAUGUGGAGGGGUCUAUAAGGACUGGUCUUUCUGCAGGGCUGAGAUGUGGAGGGGUCUAUAAGGUCUGGUCUUUCUGCAGGGCUGAGAUGUGGAGGGGUCUAUAAGGUCUUUCUGCAGGGCUGAGAUGUGGAGGGGUCUAUAAGGUCUUUCUGCAGGGCUGAGAUGUGGAGGGGUCUAUAAGGACUGGUCUUUCUGCAGGGCUGAGAUGUGGAGGGGUCUAUAAGGACUGGUCUUUCUGCAGGG